This 70-nucleotide transfer RNA is filed under the name Cryptobranchus alleganiensis (hellbender). RNAcentral's name for it is "tRNA-Ile". It matches the Rfam family "tRNA". From Rfam's summary of the family: Transfer RNA (tRNA) molecules are approximately 80 nucleotides in length. Their secondary structure includes four short double-helical elements and three loops (D, anti-codon, and T loops). The record is from RNAcentral. Lineage: Eukaryota; Metazoa; Chordata; Amphibia; Caudata; Cryptobranchidae.
GGACACGUGCCUGAAGCUAAGGGCCACUUUGAUAGAGUGUAAAAUAGGAGUUCAAAUCCCCUCGUUUCCU